GUAGAUCGUUUUGGAAACUAUGAUCAUUUUAAUAACAUUUUUUCUUCUGAUCUAUGAGCAUAGGAUGUUUUUCCAUUUGUUUUUGUCAUCUUCAAUUUAUUUCCAUUCUUUUUCAACUUUCUUUGUAGAAAUAUUUCACCUCUUUGGUUAAAUUUAUUCCUACAUAUUUUUAAGUGUUGCAAAUGGGACUGCCUUCUUGAUUUUGUUGCAGCUUUUUUGCUCCCACAUAUCAGUGAGUGGGAGGGAGUGGUGCCCACCAGCUUCACUUCUUCACUCCCACUGCUCAGUGAGCAGGAGGGAGUGGCACCCAGGGGCUUCUUCUCUCCCAUUGUUAGGCAAGUGGGAGGGAGGGUUACAGGUCUUUUACUCCCACUACCCACAGCUCAGCAAGCAGGAGCAUUAUAGCUCUUGUGUUCCCACUGCCCACAGCUCAGCAAGCAGGAGUGUUAUAGAACUUUUGCCCCUGCAACUCAUCAAGUUCUGGGUUCUUGUCCCAGGACCAGGAGGAAUAAGGUACAGGGACACUGGAGACUAAAUAAGCAUUGGCUUCAAAAUAAGGAAUAUUAAGACAAUUGCAGCUCAUCCACUGCCAAAGUUUGACUAACUGAACUCCACCCUGCUCCAUGAGCCAUGACUACAUCUUUGAUCGGACAAGAGACUGAAUUCAGUAACUUGCUCCUGGUAAGAGACUACCCACCAUGAACUGGUUCUGGACAGUUUACAGAGGCCACACACACCGAGUGUCUUUGUGUCCCUACUUCGCCUUUUGAUGUAUAGGGUCUAAUUGUAAUAAAUUUAAAUGUUAAGUCUCCACCCAAAGUGAACAUAAGACACAUGUAAUAUACAUGUUUGUUUAGUACACAUGCAUUAGGACCCCCUUCAUGAACACUCAUAGCUCCUCUUGUAACCUGUUGAAUAUGUCCACUUAGCCAACUGUUUCUUGUCUCCUCCUUUCCUACCUGGAAGUGCAGGCUAUGUCUCUGCUGGAAGCUGUGCUGUGUGAGGAUAGCC
This 1011-nucleotide long non-coding RNA is filed under the name Papio anubis (olive baboon). Its description in RNAcentral is "lncRNA (ENSPANG00000046105.1)". Lineage: Eukaryota; Metazoa; Chordata; Mammalia; Primates; Cercopithecidae. The record is from RNAcentral.